UAGGGAAUCUUCCACAAUGGACGCAAGUCUGAUGGAGCAACGCCGCGUGAGUGAAGAAGGUUUUCGGAUCGUAAAGCUCUGUUGUUGGUGAAGAAGGAUAGAGGUAGUAACUGGCCUUUAUUUGACGGUAAUCAACCAGAAAGUCACGGCUAACUACGUGCCA
RNAcentral lists this ribosomal RNA (163 nucleotides) under uncultured bacterium. Its description in RNAcentral is "partial 16S rRNA". It matches the Rfam family "Bacterial small subunit ribosomal RNA", at positions 355 to 510 of the family's 1533-position model. The record is from RNAcentral.